RNAcentral lists this ribosomal RNA (253 nucleotides) under uncultured bacterium. RNAcentral describes it as "partial 16S ribosomal RNA". It matches the Rfam family "Bacterial small subunit ribosomal RNA", at positions 524 to 776 of the family's 1533-position model. The record is from RNAcentral.
UACAGAGGGGGCAAGCGUUGUUCGGAAUUACUGGGCGUAAAGGGCGCGUAGGCGGCCUGCUAAGUCGAACGUGAAAUCCCCGGGCUCAACCCGGGAACUGCGUCCGAUACUGGCAGGCUUGAAUCCGGGAGAGGGAUGCGGAAUUCCAGGUGUAGCGGUGAAAUUCGUAGAUAUUGGGUAGAACACCGGUGGCGAAGGCGGCCACCUGGUUCGCAACUGACGCUGAGGCGCGAAAGCGUGGGGAGCAAACAGG